GAUGAACGCUGGCGGCGUGCCUAAUACAUGCAAGUAGAACGCUGAAGGAGGAGCUUGCUUCUCCGGAUGAGUUGCGAACGGGUGAGUAACGCGUAGGUAACCUGCCUGGUAGCGGGGGAUAACUAUUGGAAACGAUAGCUAAUACCGCAUAACAGUAGAUAUCGCAUGAUAUCUGCUUGAAAGGUGCAAUUGCAUCACUACCAGAUGGACCUGCGUUGUAUUAGCUAGUUGGUGAGGUAACGGCUCACCAAGGCGACGAUACAUAGCCGACCUGAGAGGGUGAUCGGCCACACUGGGACUGGGACACGGCCCAGGCUCCUUAGGGAGGCAGCAGUAGGGGAUCUUCGGCAAUGGAGGGAAGUCUGGCCGGGCAACGCCGCGGGAGUGGAGAAGGUUCUCGGAUCGGAAAGAUCUGUUGUAAGGGAAGAACGAGUGUGAGAGUGGAAAGUUCACGCUGUGACGGUAUCUUACCAGAAAGGGACGGCUAACUACGUG
This 495-nucleotide ribosomal RNA is filed under the name uncultured bacterium. RNAcentral describes it as "partial 16S ribosomal RNA". It matches the Rfam family "Bacterial small subunit ribosomal RNA", at positions 28 to 507 of the family's 1533-position model. The record is from RNAcentral.